ACCUGGUCCUGCCUUUCGGCUCCGCGCAGCACCUCCAGGUGUGCGUGGAAGCUCCCGGGCUCGCGCUCGUCGCGGAAGCCCUGCCUUUCCCGCGCUGUCUCGGAGCAACCCCGCAGACGUCUGUAGAGUUCGCUCCUGCACCUAGCGAUGUGCUCCUCGAGACAGUCUCCGGAGAGAGAAGAUGCGAACUACACUGUUAUUCCCACCUAGAGAACACUACCGGUAACCAUCAACAGCUGGAAUCGAAGUCAGGAUCAUCAACUCAAAUUGAGGAGGUCCGGGUAUCAGGAGAAGUCCCCCGAUAACACCUGUGAGGUGCUGACAAACUGCAGUGGCACAAGGGGCCGGUGCUGGCACGGAGCAGCCAGGGUCCAGGCGACCCCCAGGUGUUCUCAGAUCGAGACUGGAUUACGACAUCCCCUCUGAAGCCUAAUGGACACAAGCAGUUGAACAAGAGGACUUUUGAAAAAGGGGAUGGCACGCCGAGCGGUUACGUAACACUUUCAAGGUCUCGGACCUUCUGGAAAACGGGGAGCCGGAAUUCCCACUCGCCUCCGCUACCGUUCUUUGCCACUGACAAAUUAGACUGGGACAGAUUCGAGAGAAAAUUCCGUCGUUCCCUUUCCCUUGUUGCUACUGCAUCUUCUGGUCAGCAGACAUGGGAGAAUAUCUAGGGGGCACUGAAGGUUGCUUGCCUAGCAUCUUCUCUCUCGUUCCUGAUGAAGAAGGAGUAGAGUCAGGAACACCUUUCCUGCAUACAGUCACAACCCUCUCGGGCUGUGGAGACUGCUCCCAGGAGCAGGGCUGGUUGACUUCCCUUGCUCCGCACGAGUCCAGCAAUGGCCGUGUGACCUCAUCUGGCUAAGGAGAUCUGCAUGAUGUGGCCUGGGCCCUCCCAUGCACAAUUCUCGGGCUGCUAAGAGAAAGCUAUGGAGCAGUCUCCUGUCUUCAUCUGGACGGGUGUGUCAGAAGGAGGUGCCUGGAACUGCAGUAGCUAUCCCCCCAACUUCAAGGUGAAGCUCAUAAAGAGGAUAGCAGAGAGGAGAGAUGGAAAGAACCCCAGUGCUUUUGACAGACGUUUAGGUGCUCAGUCACCAGAGCCUGAAGCCUGCUGCUGAUUAUGUGAAUUGAAGUCAUACAUUGUUUGAACAACUUGCAGCUCAGACAUUCCACCAGAAGAGGUGGCAUUUUCUAUACAAAAUACCAACCUGUAAAUUGAAAUGCAGAUGGAAAGAGAACAUGUAUCCCAGCACUAUGAAAGUCAAACAUGAUGCCAAAAUAAAGUGCAAUGCUUCCAAAAAUUGAAAAAGCAUUCACAAAGGUCCAGUAAGAAGUAUCCAAGCCAAUCUGUUGGGAAACCAGAGAAAGAAAGAGCACUCAUUUGGGGAGUCACCAAGAAAUAAAGGAUCUAAGGAUUCUGAAAACAGAAUUCAGCAAUUUAAGCAUGAUCUGGCUUGAAUACUAAACAAACAGAAACUACCCUCGGCUCAGUUUGCAGAUAAGCUCCAAGAGGUAUGAAGAAGAGGACCAUCGAUGUUAAAAUUCCGUGCACCAAGCUUACGAAGAAUCUCUUAUAGUUGAAAAGUGCUCGGUCUGCCCUGACGUGUCCCUGUGAGCACGAGGUCCUACCUGGUCAAGCAGCCCCAUGAGGAGCACGGGCAGGCUGGAGUAGAGCACGUUGUAGAGCGUGAUGAACCAGUCCUCGUACGCCGUCUGUGGGGAGAGUACCCAUUGAAGAAGGAGUACCAGAAAUGAACCAACGUAAAUGCGAAGUUUUUGUAAAAGAAAUAUCGAAGGAACUUGCACAUCCUUAUGUAAGACCACCGGCCGUGUACCAACAGCAGUCUCUGCAAGUAUCUGAACUGGGCAAAGGAGUAGUCACUUGACAUGACAGCUUGCAUGCCUUCUUGUCCACUUAUUCCAACACCAAUGUGGGCAGCUGUGGGGCGGAGGGAGAAGAUAUGUGAAUCAUAAGCUAAUUUUAAAGCAAAACAUGGAGAUGAUAAAAAUGUUUCCACAGUAAAACAAAGAAACAGACAUUCUUGGAGCAAUGAAAACUCUUGCUCACCAGCCCCGCCCCAGCUUCUGAACUCAACUUUAUGUCAGAGAUACAAGUGGCUAAAAAAAGCACAAGGCAAGGGCUCUGAGGAGUAUUUGUGAACUCAGGUGGGUGGUAAAUUCCAUUUGGGUUUUCUGCCCAGCUCAUAAGCCAUCCUUCCCACCCACGGAGGGAACCCAAGGAAUCCGUGCAUACUGUGUGUCCCUGCCUCCCUGGCCACAGCUGAGGCAGCUCUGGGCUGGUAGGUCAUCGGUAGCAUAUACAGAUUGGCUCUCCCAACCUUCAUGUCACCCUUGUUCUAUUGGAAAGGUGGGAAAGCAGAUAAAAACCUAACCCCGCUCUGACUUCCUCGCAGCAAGGUUCUAUUUGUGAAUUGGGUUCCAUCGUUGCGAGCCACCUGGAGCCCAGCAGCCCUUCCCUUUGUGGCAUUUCUGCAGUAGAGUUCAUAUCCUCUCUCCAGCUGCCUGGAGGUUGACGGACAAAAGUUCUUCAGCUGAAAAGCCCUUCACAGAAGCCUCAAAGUUAGAAGCUCCUCUGGUGCGUGACUAAGACAUUCGAGGCUCAGCCUGGCACCUGCUUCUUCAGUCUAUCCAGCGCUUUUGUGAGCACUUAGUCCCUUACAUUAAUCACUUCCUGCUUAAAGUACCCAGGGGGGUCUGUUUCUUAUGCUAUCCUUGGCACAGAACCCAAGCUGGACCAAUCCGUGUCUCUUUCACAUUUUGGAACUAAGAUUUGGGUUUGUGUUUGUCAUUUUAACUUCUAAAUUCUUGAGUUGUGGGACAGAUAUAUUUAUUUCCAAAGGGUUCUGAGAGGCAGAAGUAAAGUGGUCUAGAAGGAGGAUUGAACAGAAGCUGGGUUCCUGGUUCCAGCAUCUUCCUGAGGUCUGGCUUUUUGGGAGGCAUGAAACAUCUUUAGAUCUUUUAAAAUAAAUUUCUUUUUGUCUUAAGCUUGCGUUAGCUGUUCUUUAAUAUUUACAAUCAAAAGUGUUUUAACUAAGAUACUAGUUUAUAUAGUAUAUGAUAACUAUAAUAUACUUAGUUAACUAAGUAUUAAACUUCCAGCAUUUAGUCAUGGCCCACCGUGACCUUAAGAGACACAUUUUUUUUUUUUUUUUUUUUUGGCUGCAGAAGGUUUCCAGAAUGGAUAAAAAUGAAAGUGACAAUUCUGUCCAUCCUUCCAAUAGUCACUUAGUCACAGUUUCAACUUAGCAAAUUACGAAUUUUAUAUAGGUCUUAAGAGGCAUGGAACUAAAGACAUACUGAGAUCUGCUAGAGAAUGUGUGUUGGAGAACAUAAUCUAUUAUUACUCAGACCCAGAGACAUGACUGCCAACUCAGCAGGGUUUCCAACUGAAAGCGGCUCCAAAAAUCCUGCCUUAGUGGCAGAGUACAGGGUCUGGCAAAUUCAAAGUGACACAGUGACUUGGCCAAACCUACGUUUUCAGUAACACUUUGCGAUUCUAAAAAAUAGAAUGAAUUGCAGGUCUCAUUCAAUAUUUAUGACUUCUUUUUAAACACAUAAAUAAUUCUUAUGACUAGUCGUGGUUGCCAAACUGUGCUUUCCUGCCGAACCAUGGGCUACUUUUCCGAUCAAGCAACAAAGGGAGAUGUUGAGGUUCUCUUGGAGCCAAGGAGAAGGAGCCCCUGAUGUCCAGCCCAGCCUUUUCGCUGAGCACACCAAGGACAGCGUGUGAAAGAACACAGCCACAGUUCACAGGGGAUUCAGGGCAACUGAGGAGAUGUACUUUAUAGGGCUACAUGUUUUUUUCCCUAUAAUCUAAAUAUAGACACCUAGAUUUUCCUGAAGUUUCAAAAAUGUGGUUUCAGAUGCCUCACUGGUAGGCUCCUUCAUAGUUCCUUAACAGACUCAUCAUUGCCUCAAGCCUUUGUGGCUCUGUCUCCCCUCUCGUGCUUCUUGCUUAUUCUUAGGGUCUUAGACCAAGAAAAAACACCACCCACCAGCCAGCAGACAUCUUCAGGCCCAAGAGAGGGAGACAGGGGAGCCCAUGAGAGUCCUUGCGUCCUUGCUAGAGGCAAAAACAUGGGGGGGGGGGCGGGUUGCAGUUCCCUCCACUUCUACUAAAUGUGGAACAUGCUAACAAAUGGCCAAGUUUUUCUGACACUUAAAUUUUACUGUAUUUCUUUAGAAACAAAUAUAAUUUCUGUAUAUUGUAUUUUAUACAGGUGAAAGCAAUGCCAGUUUUUCUAAAAUACAAAAAGGCACUAUCAAUACUUGGGUAAAGCUCUGGACUUCCAGGGACACCUGAGUUUCUUUGAUUUGCACCCCAGAUGGAUGUUCCCUGUUAUAUAUAAAAGCACCGACCAUAUAACAGAGCUUAAUAAAAUUCUUAGAACUUAA
Long non-coding RNA from Prionailurus viverrinus (fishing cat), 4416 nucleotides. RefSeq lists it as uncharacterized. The transcript is spliced from 8 exons. The record is from RefSeq and is a predicted model, not a curated record. NCBI's taxonomy places the organism in Eukaryota, Metazoa, Chordata, Mammalia, Carnivora, Felidae.